GCCCUGGGUUUGCCGCGGAGGAAAGCACGUGCUUCCCCUGCAGUCUGCUAGCACCCAUCUGCUAUCUCCCUACACUUCCCCCUUUCCCCCUGUCCCAGAGCGCACGGACUGCAACAUGCCCUGCCUCAUUAGUCACUCUCCGUGGCCGGCCGCGCCGCGCUGUUAGAAGGCACACUCAAGAUCCACAUUCUGCUGGUCUGCAUGGAUGGAUCCCAGAGCUGUUGUUUUUCAUGAUUUAUCUAUCAAAAAACAGCCUACACUUCAUCAUUCUUGCUGAAGAUGGAUCUCUGUCCAGCAAAAAGAAAUUAUCAGUACUGUUUGAUAAGAUGUGCAGUGUGCAUGCACAUUCUAGCAGAAGGAAUGCUCAUACACUACCUGGGAGACAUUACUGCCAUUAGCACCCAAAGCAGUAUUUCCUGAUCCCCCCAGGUCUCUUGCUCCAUGCCUUGUGGAUAAGACAAAGCAUCACUUCAGAUCAUCUUAGCUGGAGAAUCACAGGGGAAAGCAAUGUGCAUAAGGCCUACAGUAUUUCCUGAUGGGGAAAUCAGGAUUCCUCAGUGUUCCUUCUCUUUUAGCUGUGUCCAGAUUUGCUUUCAAACAAUGGCUGUCACUCCUAUAGUGGUUUCAUAGUAAGUCAAUAUGAAGUCAGGCAGCCCCUUUGUGAGUCACUACAUGAAAGCUGCUGCACAUGUGGUCCAAAGAAAAGAACUGAAAGAAUGUGUGAAGACUUGACAAGAUUUUGAAAUACUUUUUUAUCAUUCAUCAUAAUAAGGAGACAGCCGGUUCCUGGGAGAUAUGUAAAAUGAUUAGAACCUCACAAGCCAAGAAUUUUGCAUCAGCUGUUACAGGUGGGUAAUGGUAAGCAAAAUACCUUUAACUUUUUGGAAGAGGCUAGAAGCCAACCAGGAGCAUGGCUAGUUUCUAGGAACAUAGCUACUAGCCUCCAUGUUACCAUGCUUAACCACCACCUCGAUUGCAAUGGGGACAAGGCACUUAACUCCUAAUGAUCUCCCCAACCUGCAAGGGAUGUUGUCCAUGAGCCACAGCACACUGUGCUUCAAAAUGAAGGCAAGUGUUUAAUGGUAAUGUGCUUUCUAAAAAGUCCAGUGAGAUGUCAGCGCAUAGAGCUAAGGUAAAUAAGGACUUGACAGACUUCUAGGACAAAGACGUCUGCAGCAAAACACAUCAGUCCGUGAUUGGACCAUAAGGCUCGCUGACAGCCCAUGGCUCUUUCUUGCCCCUACACUGAGCAAGAAAGAGGCUGAUGGCUUUGGCUAUGUUGUAAACACGGUGAACUCUUGCUGUCCUCUCCUCCCGUCAUCUUGUCAUUAUUUCUGUUUCAGACAUCUGGUUUUGCAGGUCACAAGUUUUGCAAUGGUGAUGUAAGCUCAGGACCAGAAAAGCAGGGGCACCAUCAGCUUUAGACAUCGUCGAGAAGAGACUCUGCAGAGCCCUGUUGCCUACAAGGAGCAGCAUGCUGAAGUACACCCAUCAGUAUACUGGUUAUAUACUGAUAAUGUAUGUAAUUAUCAGUGCAUAAAUUACUGAUCCAGAUGUAAUCUGCAUCCACAUCAUGCGGAUGCAGGAUGAUGUUUUUAUAUGGCUACUAACCUGAUGGUCCAGCUCACUAGGAGUGAUGCACAUCAUUAGGAAGAGCAGGGGAUAAGCAUCAUGCUGCUGCACAGAACUGCUAUGAAGGUUCAUGUGCCACCUCAGCUGUACAUCUCUUUAUCAACUCAGUUGCAAGCCUCGGUGUGCUGGGGUUCAGGUUGCAAGGAAAAGAAAAAGGUGAAGCUGAAGGGCACAACAUCGUAACACCUGGUGAUAUCACCUCUUCCAAGCAGCUCUGGUGGUUUCUUGCUAGCUAGGGAGUUACAGCAGCUGCUUGAUGUGAGAACAGCAAAGAGGGCUUCAUCCCUGUCUGGUCCCUUCAACCAGGGGUGCUGAAUGACAACACCUGGGAUACGUGGCCAGAGACUGUCAGUCACAGACUCACAGGGCUGCAGCUAUGAGCCCAACAGCCUCCUGCUGGCUCACAUCCAGAGAACAUCACUGUUUUUUUUUCACUCCCUAAGGCAAACCAGGCACGUAAUAUACUGUUUUUAGGGGUUUUUGUUUGUUUGCCUUGCCUUAGAAGUAAAGGAGAACAAGGAAAAGCAUGCAAAAUUAAAUUAUUUAUUCAACAGAAGCAAAUCUCCAUCCAGAAAAUGCCUUCCGACAUGGUGGAGAGGUAAGAAAUGACUGCACUAAAUUCAAAGGCAGCCACACUGAGGGAAGGCAGAGUUUCAGCAUCUGCUACAUAUGAUAUUCAAACACAGAAAAUGAAUGGAGUUGUUAGGAAAAAAAACACUGUAAUGUGCCCUUCUCUUAGAGAUCUGCUGUCUGCAUGAAAUUCCAACUCUGUUCCGACACAGAACAAAUGGGACAUUUAGUGAUUUUGGAGCCAAAAGUCUAUUUUGCAUUUCUUUUCAAUUUGAGAAAACUCUGACUACAGUGGCCCUCGGGAGGCACUGAACUAAAGAAUGAUCUUGCAUUUGUGUCUCAUCAGGCAUCUGGUAAAGGCAGAUCACAGCCUGCAAGGCAGCCGUAUAGACCCAAGGCCAGUGUGAGAUAAGUAUUAUCUUGACGCUGCAGCACAGAUUGCACUUGUGCUGAUUCAGAUUUUAGCUCCUCUCUUGGGCAGAGAUAGAGCCUGGGAGACGCAGCUGACCCAAUGUGAAUUGGACAAGUCAGCAAGGGAGAUACUAAGGGAGAUACCAGGCCAGUUCAGCCUGGAGAAGACAGAGAGGGGAUCUUACUAAUGUGCACAAGUAUCUUAGGGGAAGUAUCAACAGGAUGGGGCCAGGCUGUUUUCUGUGGUGCCCAGCAACAGGACAAGAGGCUCAAACUGAAAGCAGAGAGGCUCCAUCUGCACAUGAGAAACAAAUUCUUCAUUUUGAGGGUGGCAGAGCCCUCACACUGCCCAGAGGUGCAUCUCCCCUGCAGAUAUUCAGACCUGCCUGGAUGUGCUACUGGGCAAUGUGCUCUGCAUGACCCUGACUGAUGCUGCGGGCUUACACUACGUGAUCCCCAGUGGUCCCUUCCAACCUCAGCCAUUCUGUGAGUGAUUCUGAGACUCUAUAGAGUGUAUGACUCAAGUGUAUGUUUUGCAUGUGUGAGGCAAGCACAGCGCUUCACACAACUGAUCAGUAGGGUCUUUGUUAUCUGUUCCUGUUCCCUGUUCUACUGCUCUCUGAGGCUUAAUGAAAUCAUGUACAUGUGAGAAAGCAGACCAUUUUAUGGUUUAUGUUGCUAUUCAAUAUUUACUUUUUGCUGAUCUCAGCUUAGGAUGUUAGGAUGCAAGGGAAACCUCUCUUACUCGUUAGCCUGCCCCAAGGCAAACAUUCUCAUUAUUGUUUAUGUUAUAAUAUUGCCUAGAAAUGUACAAAAUGAAAUUCCUGUCUUAGUGAAACUAGCACAACCAUGCCUACUUUUCUGUGGCCAGGAUCCCUCCUCAUGUGCCACUGAAAUACCUCUGUGUUUUAUAUAGCCCUCUGUGAAAGUGCCAAAUCCUACUAAUAAAAACACCAAAGUUCAUGAAUCUGACAGAAGGACCAGUACACCAGCUUCAUCUCUGAGUUAUCUGAGUUCCUCUCCACCACAAUGGUUGCUGACAGCGGUGUCUUGUCUCACUUGGUAAUGCCACUCCCCACACAGCUCCAGAAAUCACAUUCUUGUUUCCAAUUCCUUACAGCCAUGUCUUGGCACCACAAAAAGGACCUGCUCACACAGCCCCUGCUGUGCAAAUCCAGCAUCCACCAUCAUCUUCUGUUUGAUUUUAUUCUCAAUCAGGACUGAAAAUAGUUCACUGCAGGCUUCCAAAGGUGCCAUGUCAUUGGGAGCACAUGCUGCUCACGCAGGUGAUGCAGACCAGUGCCUGCGUCUGCGGCAUCGACCAUGUGAACCUUAGACAAAAAACGUUUUUGUGCCAGAUGGCUUUGGCUACUCCUCAUUUGUGUGCUCUCCCCUGCGACACCGAGGAGCUUCUCCAUUUCUGUCUCUCUCAGCCCCCGCUUUCUACAGCCCCACCUAAUGGAAUGAAGCAUGGGGAACUAAAAAUGAUUCUUCAACAACUGUGCACCAUCAGUGCAGUUAUCCCAGUCACUCUGUUGAUGGCUAAGAGGAAGGCUGGCUGAUUUCUGUCUACAGAAGUACCUCCUGAAGGGCUUUCCUUGCACUGUGCCCACACAUAGUAUUUAUCCAAAGCACGGGUAGGUUUGUAAAGAAAGCCAAGAUGGAAGGAUGCUCAGAGGUUCGAGGUCAAGUAACAUAUGCAGGGAAGUUCAGAUCAGAACAGAAAGCAAGUCAGUUCCAGACUAUUUUUUUAACUACAAACCAGUUCUUCUCCAAACAUUUUCCAAGGGACAGCACAGAGUAAUGGAACAACUCUGGGGUGAGCUCGUGAAAUCUCUCUACUACAGGAUGAAUGACCCGCAUUACUGUUUAAAAAGCACACUGAAGAAAAUUGAAAUUCCACAGGGCAGGAGUCUACCAGCUUCUGAAGAAUUUGGCAGCAGAUUGGGAUUCACAGCUCAGCCUUGAAGAUAACGAAGUUACAACAGACUAUCUCAGCUGUGCAAGAUGACCCCAUGAAGAGGAAUUCAGGAUAAUCCCAUCCUGGGUUCUGUUUCAGAAAAUAAAAGUUACAGAAUUGUAUAAAUUUA
This is a long non-coding RNA of Gallus gallus (chicken), 4703 nucleotides long. RefSeq lists it as uncharacterized. The transcript has 4 exons. The record is from RefSeq and is a predicted model, not a curated record. NCBI's taxonomy places the organism in Eukaryota, Metazoa, Chordata, Aves, Galliformes, Phasianidae.